This 497-nucleotide ribosomal RNA is filed under the name uncultured bacterium. RNAcentral's name for it is "partial 16S ribosomal RNA". It matches the Rfam family "Bacterial small subunit ribosomal RNA", at positions 28 to 507 of the family's 1533-position model. The record is from RNAcentral.
GAUGAACGCUGGCGGCGUGCCUAAUACAUGCAAGUCGAGCGAACAGACGAGGAGCUUGCUCCUCUGACGUUAGCGGCGGACGGGUGAGUAACACGUGGAUAACCUACCUAUAAGACUGGGAUAACUUCGGGAAACCGGAGCUAAUACCGGAUAACAUGUUGAACCGCAUGGUUCAACAGUGAAAGACGGUCUUGCUGUCACUUAUAGAUGGAUCCGCGCCGCAUUAGCUAGUUGGUAAGGUAACGGCUUACCAAGGCAACGAUGCGUAGCCGACCUGAGAGGGUGAUCGGCCACACUGGAACUGAGACACGGUCCAGACUCCUACGGGAGGACGCAGUAGGGAAUCUUCCGCAAUGGGCGAAAGCCUGACGGAGCAACGCCGCGUGAGUGAAGAAGGUCUUCGGAUCGUAAAACGCUGUUAUUAGGGAAGAACAAAUGUGUAAGUAACUAUGCACGUCUUGACGGUACCUAAUCAGAAAGCCACGGCUAACUACGUG